CAGUCGCCACGGUAAUACGUAGGUGGCAAGCGUUGUCCGGAAUUAUUGGGCGUAAAGGGCUCGCAGGCGGUUUCUUAAGUCUGAUGUGAAAGCCCCCGGCUCAACCGGGGAGGGUCAUUGGAAACUGGGAAACUUGAGUGCAGAAGAGGAGAGUGGAAUUCCACGUGUAGCGGUGAAAUGCGUAGAGAUGUGGAGGAACACCAGCGGCGAAGGCGACUCUCUGGUCUGUAACUGACGCUGAGGAGCGAAAGCGUGGGGAGCGAACAGGAUUAGAUACCCCCGUAGUCCCUGUCUCUUAUAU
Molecule: ribosomal RNA, 301 nt
Filed under: uncultured bacterium
Lineage: Bacteria
Description: partial 16S ribosomal RNA
Rfam family: Bacterial small subunit ribosomal RNA
Source: RNAcentral